UACGUAGGGGGCAAGCGUUGUCCGGAAUCAUUGGGCGUAAAGCGCGUGUAGGCGGUCCGGUAAGUCCGCUGUGAAAGUCGGGGGCUCAACCCUCGGAUGCCGGUGGAUACUGUCGGGCUUGAGUACGGAAGAGGCGAGUGGAAUUCCUGGUGUAGCGGUGAAAUGCGCAGAUAUCAGGAGGAACACCAAUUGCGAAGGCAGCUCGCUGGGACGGUAUUGACGCUGAGACGCGAAAGCGUGGGGAGCAAACAGG
This 253-nucleotide ribosomal RNA is filed under the name uncultured bacterium. RNAcentral describes it as "partial 16S ribosomal RNA". It matches the Rfam family "Bacterial small subunit ribosomal RNA", at positions 524 to 776 of the family's 1533-position model. The record is from RNAcentral.